This 77-nucleotide transfer RNA is filed under the name Pseudomonas aeruginosa. RNAcentral describes it as "tRNA-Pro". It matches the Rfam family "tRNA". From Rfam's summary of the family: Transfer RNA (tRNA) molecules are approximately 80 nucleotides in length. Lineage: Bacteria; Pseudomonadati; Pseudomonadota; Gammaproteobacteria; Pseudomonadales; Pseudomonadaceae. The record is from RNAcentral.
CGGGGCGUAGCGCAGCCUGGUAGCGCACUUGCAUGGGGUGCAAGGGGUCGAGUGUUCGAAUCACUCUGUCCCGACCA